Long non-coding RNA from Gallus gallus (chicken), 1507 nucleotides. The record is from Ensembl. Lineage: Eukaryota; Metazoa; Chordata; Aves; Galliformes; Phasianidae.
CAGUCUGAAGAGAAACUGGCACCUGCAGUGAUGACUCAUUCCAUCUGCGUCAGGAUCUGAGACAGGAGCACUAAUAUCUCUCUACAGUUUCUAUUCUGUAACUGUUAUGGAGGCUCUGAAGAAUAGCCUCUAGAGUCUAGCGCACUAAGCACACCUGUAAGCCCAAAGGAACAAAUCACAUCAAAUGUCUAAUUUUACCAGUGAAUUUAAUGCAUGUAUCAAACCAGUAAUAAAGUGAAAUAAUGAUUUUGCACAAAGUGACAGAGAGCAGAAAUAAAAAAGAUUUAGCACCAUAGAAAAUCUCUAAUUUAGGGGCAGUUCUAAAAGCUUUUAAAUGGACUAUGUUGUGUGCACGUGCCCAAAGAACUCGAGAUUGCUCUUAGGAACCUCAGGAUCACACUAAAGCCCACAUCUUGUCCAAAGAGAAACCUGGAGGAAGUAUUAUGAAACAUUUGGAUCUGCAUUAUUAUUCUUAGCUGAUUGAAGUAUUCAUCACAAGACAUGUAUUUGCUGAAUGUAACCCUUUAUUCUGUCUCUGUGAGCAGAUGGAAAUUUAUACCCAUUUGUUUUUCCGAACUGCUUCGCUUGUUACUGCAAAUAUAUUCAAGCUUUGAGAUUUUUAUGAACUUUAGCAGAAUAUUCAGUCAUAGAAUCAUAAAAGCUCGAAAAGACUACUAAGAUUGUCUACACCAAACCAUCACCACCAUUCCCACUAAGCCAUGUUCUUCAGUACUUCACCUAACUUCUACGUGAAAGCCUUCAGGCAUGACGACAACCCUGCUGGGCAGCCAGUUCUAAUGCCUACUGUUCUUUCUGAGAAUAUUUUUUUCCUAAUAUCCAAUUAUUUGCUAGUGUAAUACUUACAAUAGAUUAUUUAAGCUUUGAUUGUUCUCCAAAUUAACACAGUCCUUGCAGUCUGAAGUUUUCAGGCAAGAGGCAACAAGGGAUAAUAGGAAUGGGAAGAUAUGAAGGGAACCAAACGUGGUCAGUGGCACUAACUUAUGAGGUCAUGUGAGAAUGUGAGGAUGUUGAUUCCAAAGGAGCUAACUUAUUGAGGAUUUCUAGGCUGGGAGAUGGUCCCAAGAAACAAGCCUCCCCAUCACACUAAUUGGUGGGAUAACAUCCUAGAGGUGUCACUUCCAAAAAGGAUAAACCUUGUAGCUUAGAAGACUGGGAACAAAGGGGCCCAGACUGGGAGUGUGCAGAAACUGGCAGAGCUCAGAAAACACAUGAGAAUGUGCAGGUGGAAGUGGGAGUAGAAUUAGUAAAAAAAGUGGGAAAGGGAGAUAGAUAUAAAGCUUCUGCUUAUGCUUAAACCAUGGCCAGUCAGAACACUUGCCUAGAUGAACCUGGACACUGAAGUGUUUCUUAUCUUCUUAUAUUUCCUCAUUAAAUCAUUUCUUAACCUUCUCUGUCUAUUUGCACUCUGUUACCCAUGCCUGUGUGCUACAAGGAUUAUGUGCCAGUUACUGGCAAGACUUAGAUGUGUGAGUGAACUUGGUGUCAC